Molecule: long non-coding RNA, 285 nt
Filed under: Capsella rubella
Lineage: Eukaryota; Viridiplantae; Streptophyta; Magnoliopsida; Brassicales; Brassicaceae
Description: long non-coding RNA (CRUB_LNC000406)
Source: RNAcentral
UGUUAUAUCUCACUUAGGGGGUUGGUAAUCAUGUAAUGGAUAAUACAUUCAGAGUUUAAUCCGCAUUGUUUUACCACUCUUUGUAAACUCUGAAUGGCUAGACUCAUCUUUAGUCUAGUACCACACCUUUAGCCCUAUUCAUGCUUCAUACUACAUGCGUUCUUGUGUCAUUGUCAUCAUGUGCAUUCAUGUGCAAAAACUACGGAGAGUUUUGUUGAUGCAGUUUGUGAGACGAGAACCGGUUCCACUCCUCCGUAAAAAAAAACACAAAAAAGAGAAAAGAAC